UUAAUAUCGUAAUAACAAUUCAUUUAACGAUUGUGACGCGUUUAGAAACUUACCGUGAAUUACAAGCAGAGUGAAAUAUAUUUGAAAUUUCCAGGACUACCAUAACGAAAUAUUCAAGAUGGUAGAACAUUUUUAAACAAUUCGAGCUUUUGUUUUCAUCGUGAAGCCUCGAUACUUCUCGGAAAGAGGAACAACGUUUGGAAAAUAUGCGCAGCGAGACGAUGUUAUUAAAAAGUCGUAAACACAAAAUCGUCUUGAGAAUAGAACGGGGGUUUCGUGCGCCCUUCAAUUAGUCUAGCUUUGACCGUGAUCGCGAUCGCGAUAGCAUGCGUAAAGUCGGUACGAUUCUAUACACGUAUAAUUUUAUAAAGUGAAAUAGUGAGUAUUAUUUAAUCAAAGGCGAUCUCCUGCGAUGUCCGGUACUUCCGGUGGAAUAUGAGAAGUCAAGGCCGUGACAGGGAUCGUUCGAGUUACCUCUUGGUGGGACGUUUCGUGAGAUACCUCAAGCAUCUAACAGAAUAUCACUGCACGAAUUUCUCAAUUACAAUUGACCGAAGUUCAGAAAGCGGGGAUAACACACCUAGCUACACUGUUUCACCAUCGAAGGACGUUUCAGGCGAAUCUUUUAUAAUUGUCCGAACGUGUUUCGAAACAACAAGGAGUUAAAGGACGAUAGAACAGACGUACGCAUACUCCUGGGUCACUUCUUCUAUCAUCAUCGUCAUCGUAUCGUAAAUUGAUUUUAAGAGACUGAUCGAUGUGCAGUGAACUAUCGGCAUCUGCAAGAACGAGAUUAAUUUAUGGGACGACGCCUGUAAGCGGAGGAUGCAAGAAGAAUGGUUAUUAAACUGCCAGAGUUUUGAGGUGCAUCAGUUCAUAAAUAUUAGGACUCUUACGGAAGCUUAAGGAAAGUUAAGGAAAGCUAUUAAGAAAUUAUCUAAUCUCCUGAGAAUUGGAGAUUAGAGAAGAAGAACGAGCAGGGCCCACAUGCUGCGGCACAGCUAUUUGUCUGUCGGCCGUCAAACGCAGCCUGCAACGUAUUGUUUAUAAUUCGGCAAAUGGCGGUUCCGUUCGGGGAGGCAACACGAGAUACGCCGGUUGUUCCUGCUGCGAGCGAGAGACGAGACGCUUGCUCAAGACUGUAAUCUAAAACCGAGAAGCGCCGGGAGAGACAGGAGACUGCAACCCGAGGACCUUCUUCGAGGAUAACCCGCUCCACCGCUCGUGUUCCAAGCGUAUAAACACAUAGAAACCAUCAGCUCUCGCUCUCCUCUGCCAUAUUCUGACCGAAAACAAACAACUCUGGGUUUCACGCGUCUACAUCAAUCGAGGUGGAGGAAGUUUCAGGAAAAUUGCGUUUCGACGCAGUCGCGGCGUAUCGUAAAAGCGGAUACGUACUUGCAAGGCCUGCAAUUCGUCUGGCAUAAAGCACACCGAUGCAUCUAUGAAAUUGCAACGCAAGAAUAGCAGUACGUGUGUUGGAUGCUUCGGCCGUCCUGAUCAUUGAAUUAGGAUUUCAAGUUGGUUGCGAAUGUCAGCAAUAUGAUAACGAUGGUAAUCCCUUAGAGUUACAGUAGUAAUGGAAUUUUAAGAAGUUACACACGCCACUGACCUCACGAAAGAAAUAAAAUAGUCAAACUCGAAGAUGUUAUUCCUCUAGGGGUACCUAACCACGUGUUAUUUAGCAAUUAAGCUGGAAAAAUUUAUUAAAUGUGCAGCUGGACAAACUGUAAAGUACAAAUUAAAUAAUAAUAAAAAAACAUGCAACAUAUUCAUAAAAAUUUCACAGGGUAAGCGUUUAAAUACUUUGCCUCCUUUUUUCUUUUAUUACAGCUCGCAUUCUUUCCAAUUUGCUUCAUAUGCACUACCGUGUCAUAUAGUCUGUGUUCUCAUCAUUUUACUAAACAUUCCGGGUUUUUGUAUCCGAAUCGAAUAGUAUAGUCGACGAUUAGUUAGCAGGCGAAGUAACUUGGAUUCUCUUUGAUACGAUGUAUUAGUAAUAAAUUGAAUAAAUAAUUGCUACAGACACAUAAUCGCCAAGGUACUUAGUAAUAACGCGAGCAACCAAGAACAAUUUGCUAUUCGUCUGACGUAAUCGAUGCGUAUACUCGUUCUUCUUCUUACAUUAGACAAGUAACGUUUCCGCGUGUAGUUCUAAUUCGGUGGCCAGAGAGUGUAGCAUAGGUGUCUCCGAUAAAUAACUGUCGCCCUCGAUGAAAAGCCGCUCGAGCGAAUUUACAUGGAGCUAAUUUAUAUGUACACAAGACUAUUGUUUCAGACCCCGUCACUCUGAUAAACGUCCGGCUACUGUUGCGAGUAUCUCGACACACUAGAGUUUAUCGGGUUUACGAUACGGAUCGUAAUGCAUCCUUUAUUUUCAGUCUAAUACUCGAAUAACACUCGUGCAGAAUUAACGCGUGACAUCGCAAUUAUUUGCGCGGUUGAUAGAGACAAAUCAAGCGAGGCAAGCGUUGCGGCGAUGAGGAAGCGUUGCGGCGACGAGCAAACGUCAUAAAGAUCAAAAGUUAUUUCAACGGAAGAUAAAAAUCGACAAUGACGAGGAAACUUGCGAGUAUGGUUGCUUCCAUGACAUAGUGACCUCCUAAAAAGCAUCCAGUUAGUCGCGCACAGUUCGUAUGUAUCGCGUUUCACAUUGUCAACUUUGUAGUUCAACUCCAUCUCGUCUAAAGUUACGUUUUCACAGAUUUCGUAUACUUUUUAUGAUACUGUCUCCUGUUUCCAUUGCUGGUAGCUCUUCCGGCGUUAUAAUAAAAUUUUGCUUUUUGUUUAUCAUUAGAGUGCUCUCUUUGGCUUGUUUCCUAUUUUUGUUAAGCUCGCAUUAAUUUACUUAGAUGCUGAGAUCGCUUGUCCGAGAUUCCUGACGCUCUACGCUUCUUUAUUACUGGGUCGCGAAUAAUUAAUCUAUUAACUGGGAAAGAUAAGUAUACUUGACGCUGGAAAUUCUUGAAUAUAACAAUUCUUUUAUUUAGAACUUAACGAUCGUUUUACGUUUCAUUUUAUUUCUGUUAAAAAUUAAUUAUAUGAUACCUAUGUUUGCAAUGAUUAAAAUCAGCAUAGUUGGAAUUGUGGAGCAUUUAUUAAAUUUGAAUUUUGCAGUUAAAUGGUAACCCAGAUACGCUGACAUUUUCGUGUGAUGUUUUCCGAAAUAAUUUAAUUUUUCCCUCAUCUGGGCAGUUUGAAUUAAAAGGAGAAUUCAAUUUUUCUAUUAACUGGUUUUCAAAAACUGACCAUCCAUUUAAACAAAUAUCGGACAAUGUUUAAAAACUCACGAAACAGAAUAAAAUUUUCCUUUCCUUAGAAAUAUAACAGUCGCAUUAAAAUUAUAUAUUAAUAAAACGACGCGCUGAACAACUUAAUAAAAUGGUCGAAUAUCAAAAUUUAUGCAUUCCUAUGCCCAAGGAAAGUUAGUAAUCUAAUAAAAUAAGGAUUUAAAACCGUAGUUACCUGUUAAUCGCUACCAUUACUCUGUGCAUUAGCUCACUGUGUAAUGAGAACUCUGACUCAUUUCAAGCUAUCACGAAGCUCAUCGAAAUUAGUUCAACGAAAAUAAUAUCGAAAGUUAUUUGGCUCGGAAAAAUGGUAGAGAGAGAGAGAGAGAGAGAGAGGGAGAGGGAGAGAAAAUAGGUGGGAAAACUUGAUGAAACGCAGUAUUAUUAGAAAAGUUGAGGCAUAGGGUCAACAUUUACUGCGGCCACAGCGCGCUCUCCGUUUCGACCAUCGAUUUCCUCUUUCGAAUUUAUUUCGGGCUACGGGUCGUCACGAGAGAAGUCAGGUCGAAAAAUUUUUCAUUCCAAUCGAACGCGGGAACUCCUUCCCCUGCAACAAAGUGCACCGUAGUUGUAUAAAAUUUAUUACAUUGACACUAUCCCUUUGCCUCGGACCAAUUGAUAAAUUAUUCGAAAAGCAAACAGACCGAGUCCUAAAAUUUCAAGACCGGAAAACGACGAUUGGUUAGGACAGUUAUCCUUUUAAGCAUUACGAACGUAAAGGAAUUGAAAUAAACCUGGGAAAUUACAAAAUUACUAAAACGUUUAGUCUCUUUAAGAUCAAAUUUCGUUUUAUUCUAUAAGAAGAACCGUCCUUUUAUUAAUUUAUUAAGAAUAGCAAUUAACAGUAGAUAUUUGUUCAGCUGAUAUUGUAAAGAGGACACUAUACAUUAAAAUUUGACACCAAAAAUAAACACUUAUCGUUUAUCCUUUAAUCAAUCUUGGCAUUCGUGUUGCUAGUUUUUUUCACCUUUUAAGUUUCCUACUUAAUAUACCUCAUUAUACCUACUAUUUUACCCUAAUAUACUUUGAUAUGUACACAAAUUUCAACAAUGAAUUUGUCAAGAUAUCAUCACGUUCAGCGAAUAAUUGUUUAUUCAUCCUUCCUGGAAAUUUUUUCUAUCCUGAAUCAGUAAUUUUCACUGUCAAAUCCUUUCACUUCUUUCUAAUCCAAGUUUCUCCUUCUAAUCCUUUCCUUGUCAAUCUAAACCAAUUAUCGCGUUCCCCAUACACAUCACCAGGUACCUCCUACUCAUAAACAGAACGAGUAGUAUUAGGUUGUCUGGAAAAUGUCUUUCUUUCGCAAACGUUUUUUACAACAAUACACCUUCAUAGAAACGUGAAACCACGUCUGUGAAAUGUCACGGUGUCUAUCUCAACAGAACAAAAUGGAUCGUACGUAAUACGACAAAAUAAUACAAAAGAAAAAACGUUGUGCGUCUAUUAUUUCCUCAUAAAACGAAAGAAACUUUUCGGACCUAAUAGUUUUCUUGAGAAUUGUGGAUCUUAGUCGCCGAAAUAAACGUGUGGAAACACUCACAUUACAUGUAGAAAUGAUAUUAAAAUAGUUUCAUAUUUAUCUAACAUGUGAUUAACACGAUAUUCGUAGAUACGUAGAUUGCACGCGUCUCGGCACUCCUUUUGUCUCAGCAUCUUCUUUUCCACCAUGCGUACGGAACAUUUGCAUUCUUCUGUUUUACCAGACGUUGCGCACGCACAUACUCAUAUAUGUGUGUCACUACUACGCGACUAAUCCAGUGUAGCACACAAAACUACACGUAUCUCAAUAAGUUUCAUGAACCUCCGCGUCGUUCGUCGCGACAGGUUUGUCCAGGGCCUCGAGUUUCCACCAGCACGUUAACGCGAGUUUCUACCAUGUGCAGAAACGACACUGUCCGUGAGCACGACGUUCUCGAACAAAGCUGAAUACGACAAUGCGAACGGUCCGCCAGAGCGCAAUACACUCACGUGCUCGUUUACGACCCAGGACAAUGCAGCCUAAAUGCUGCAGCGUCCAGCUGCUUUUAAUUUCUUUAGCCGACCGUUGGUCGUCUUAACACCACGCCAUAAUCGCGUCUACAACAGGAACCGGAAGCGACGACGGAUAGAACGGAUAUAUACAUAAAUAUCACUUUAUGCUGGAGCAAACAUCGUGCCAGACACUCGCAAUUUACGGCAACAAAAAUACCAGAGACAGGGAAUGGGUGACCAGGGUACGGCAGAGAAGAUAGAAAAGCAACGGGAAACGGAUGCGACGCGGAAACGAGGAAAAACGUCGAUGGAUGUUUACGUCGGUUUUAGCAGGCUGACGACGCGGGGAAGCGAUCCUCCUCGUUUCUUUUGUCGCGUGGGAUGUAGGCAGAACGCGACGUUUCGAACAGGAUGAGUAACGAAGCGAUAUUCCCGCGCGUGUACACGGUUACAAUAAAUGAAUGAUUUCAGUGAGAAGGACGGUUGUGCAUAAAUAACAAGCCGAUAAGCCGCUUUAUGGUGGGAACACCUGACGUUCUCGGCGACGACUCGUUCCAAAGUAUCCCUCUGGUUCUUUAAUGGAGACCGAAAUGAACACAGAGGCAAAGAAAAUGUAUAGGAUUAUUCUUUUUGGUAAUUAUUGGCAGUACAGAGAUAGAAAUAAAUAGAUAUUUAAAACAACGCAAAGAGGGUUCGUCGAGCUGCUUGGAAUCAUUAACCUUUUUAUAAUUUUUGAAUUUUUUAUUCUUAAGAAGGGAUGUUACUAUUUCGAACAACUAGCGAAAAGACUUUUGAUGUUUCACGAAUAUAUAGACAAGUAGUACCGCGCUGCACUUUCUGAAUAUUUAUAUUCAUGAAAGGAGAUAUUACUGCUAUUUUGCUCAACUCAUAAAAGGGCUUUUAACGUUUCAAGUAAUAUACUAAUAUAGUAAUAGUAUUAUAAUAUAUAAAACUUAAACGGAGAGUCACGCAUACUGAUAACAAUUCCUUCGUAUUUUCCUCAAACUUGAGAUAUUUUUGAAUAUUAAAAAAUACGAUUCAGUGAAAAUGAUAUGGAGAAGACCGCGGAGCUAAAUCUUUGAGUGCUCCAAAUCUUUGAAAAAGCAUGAUAUGUAGUCUGCCUCUAUUUUCCAUUCCAGCUGUUUAGCUUUGUAUAUUUCUAUCUCUAGUACAAAUCGUUAAACGAUUUGUGGAUAUAUAUAUUCGCGUUUUAUACUUAUAAGUAAGCAAUCUGCUAUUACGAAAUUCAGAAACAUAUAACAACGUUCUUUGGUCUCGCACAAUUUGGAAGUCUGCUCUUUGAAAUCGCACAGAAGUUCGCGCCUGCUCCGAGCGUUUGUUUUCUACCCACCGAUACGAAAACAGGUUACAAAGCAAAACAGUUUGGAAAAAAGGAAGAGGAAACGAUGACGAAGAAUUUAUGCAGAAUAUAAAGUUGCGACUGUGAUCGGGAUCCAGCUACACGCAUGUAAAGAAAUCAGAAUAAAACCGAGUUUUCCCAGACCGAGUAAAGUGCGAUGUUUGAACAGUUUUCAGAAGUGGCUUUGUGUUUUCUCGAAACGCACACGUUUGCACACAAUGUAACUACGAUUCGUGGAUUCGUACACGAAAACGAUUCCUGAGAAACGGCAACAUCCAUCUUGAAGGCAGACAAACAGUGGAAAAAGAUGUUUCUAAAAUAAUAUUUGCGACUCGUUCGAAGAGAGAGAGAGAGAGAGAGGGAGAAAGAGAAUGGGAGAGAGAGAGAAAGAUCACCAGAAUAGUGAUCACAGGUAGCAUCUCUUGGCUACUAAUUAGUCAGACUAUACCCCAAUUACAGAAGCUCGAGUAGAAGGCAAAUUAGAGAUGCUGGAUAGAAGCGAGAUGGACAGUUUGCCAAAUAUUUGCCGGCCAAUAAUGAUUAGCUUAAUUCCACUCGGUCUUCCAUGAGCUUGUGCUGUUACGGAGGUUAUAACAGGAUUUAGUUUCUUCGCCUGAAUUUUCUGCACCAUGCUGUUUGUGCUAACUACGAACUUAGAUGCAGUUGACUCAGCUAAUUACGAUCGGAAAUGUCUCGGUUCUUUCGUUACUGCUCGUUAAAAUAACGCUGCUUUUUAAUAAUCGUACAGCAACGAAGAUGUAAAAAAUUGUCUAGCAUGUACUUGGUGUCUAUUAAUCAACGUUGCAUCUAAUCGAAACGAAAUAACGAUUCUCAAGACUUGUAAUAAUUUCCUAAUAGUAUUUCACGCUUUGUUUUCAGUCUUUUAAUACUUAUGGUCGUGGGUGUUUCUGUUAAACGAAACGCGACCUCCGCACCCCGUUAAACGCCCCGAAUGAAAAACCGUACAAAUCGUUCAGUUUCAGCCGCUUGACACGUGUCUGACACAACGACGAGAACAAUCAGCUUAGUGCUGCAGUGCAUUCGGCACGAAAAAGCAGCACAUCGCAAGGGAGAUCAUUGAUCUAUCAGAGUGGCUGUCGAAAAUCUUGUAAAACAAUUACUUGGAAGCAACAUUGGCAGAGAAACUCUUCCCGUCUUUAACAUUCGAAACAGCGAAGAUAAUUCACAGGGAUUAUUUGGUUUCGAUCGAGCAACGAGGAAAAAUCGGUGAUACUUUCCCGUAGAAAACGAAAACGAUAAGAAAGGAUGACUUCGAGCGACAGAGAGGAAAAAGGAAAAUCGUAAGAAGAGGACAGCAGAGGGCUAACGGAAAGGAUUCUUUCAAUUAGUUUGUCGACUCUUGAGAUUCCAGUUAAUCGACUCUCUUCUCGGACGUCUGCUACUCUAAUGAUCGUUCACAUCGAGAGAGACGUUGGAUGGUUUCUCCAUUAUGCAAGAAGUUGAACGCAUCCAUAUUGAUAAGCCAAGUUCUCGGAUUUUCCGUAAUAUGUACUUCAAAAACGCUUCGAUAAAUCUUUACGGUGCGUUCAGACCAAGUCUUGCUCCGCCUUAGCAAAAAUUCGGCGAUAGAAUGCACGUCUGCAGUUUCGAUUUGCUAAAUUUUACCAACGUCGGGAAAAAACGAGUAUUCGCUUGGUCGUACCAUUGGAUUAAAUCUGUAGAUUUCAUGAAACCAGGAGGAUUGUGCAAUCUUUCCCUCCUCUCUUACUGUGUUAAUACUAGUUUGUUAUAUUAUUAAUAUUAUGCUAGUUCGUUAUAUUAUUAUAUUAAUACUAGUUUAUUGCUACAAACAACUGUUAAUUACGCUACUACUCCGUGACAGAUUGUUAUAGCGAUCAAAACUCGAACGUAAAAAAGA
Molecule: long non-coding RNA, 8497 nt
Organism: Bombus huntii
Lineage: Eukaryota; Metazoa; Arthropoda; Insecta; Hymenoptera; Apidae
Exons: 7
Source: RefSeq, a predicted model, not a curated record